UACAUAGGUGGCAAGCGUUGUCCGGAUUUACUGGGCGUAAAGAGCGCGCAGGCGGUCGUUCAAGUCGCGUGUGAAAGCCCCCGGCUCAACUGGGGAGGGUCACGCGAUACUGAUCGACUCGAAGGCAGGAGAGGGAAGUGGAAUUCCCGGUGUAGUGGUGAAAUGCGUAGAUAUCGGGAGGAACACCAGUGGCGAAGGCGACUUCCUGGCCUGUUCUUGACGCUGAGGCGCGAAAGCUAGGGGAGCAAACGGG
Molecule: ribosomal RNA, 253 nt
Filed under: uncultured bacterium
Lineage: Bacteria
Description: partial 16S ribosomal RNA
Rfam family: Bacterial small subunit ribosomal RNA
Source: RNAcentral